AACGAACGCUGGCGGCAUGCCUAACACAUGCAAGUCGAACGAGACCUUCGGGUCUAGUGGCGCACGGGUGCGUAACGCGUGGGAACCUGCCUUUAGGUUCGGAAUAACUCAGAGAAAUUUGGGCUAAUACCGGAUGAUGUCUUCGGACCAAAGAUUUAUCGCCUUUAGAUGGGCCCGCGUUGGAUUAGCUAGUUGGUGGGGUAAAGGCCUACCAAGGCGACGAUCCAUAGCUGGUCUGAGAGGAUGAUCAGCCACACUGGGACUGAGACACGGCCCAGACUCCUACGGGAGGCAGCAGUGGGGAAUAUUGGACAAUGGGCGAAAGCCUGAUCCAGCAAUGCCGCGUGAGUGAUGAAGGCCUUAGGGUUGUAAAGCUCUUUUACCCGAGAUGAUAAUGACAGUAUCGGGAGAAUAAGCUCCGGCUAACUCCGUG
Molecule: ribosomal RNA, 433 nt
Filed under: uncultured bacterium
Lineage: Bacteria
Description: partial 16S ribosomal RNA
Rfam family: Bacterial small subunit ribosomal RNA
Source: RNAcentral